RNAcentral lists this long non-coding RNA (1977 nucleotides) under Leguminivora glycinivorella. RNAcentral describes it as "uncharacterized LOC125241817". The record is from RNAcentral. Lineage: Eukaryota; Metazoa; Arthropoda; Insecta; Lepidoptera; Tortricidae.
UUACUGGUAAAAAUGACAGAUUGCAACCGAACCCUAAUAAAACUUAUUAUAUUAUAUUAUUAUUUAUUUUUUCCACUUUUUAUUUUUGCAUCUCAGCAAAAGCAAAUUUCAGCGGUUUCCAGUCCAGGACGGACGGGCGGAUGGACAGACAGACAGACAAAUAUGGCGAAACUAUAAGGAUUCCUAGUUGACUACGAAAUACUAAAAUAAGCGCCAAAUUUGAAACAUGGGCGAAGGUUUAUUGUGCCAUAGAAAAUUUGAAUUAGGCGCCUUUUUUAAACGACAGUAUUUGCUUGGCCAUAAUUUUCUUUAAAUAAUUUUAUUAAUGUAAAUGUUGCAAAUAAUUGUGAAAAUAAAGUUAUCGAAUAAUAAUACUAAAGCCUGACCAGAAAUAUAUGACUAUUAUUGUCAAGAGGGCGCUGUUUAUUCUGAUGUAUGGGGUGACAUUGCAGUUUAGUAUGAAGAAUAGUUCUCAUAUUAUAUUUCUCUCUUUAUUAGGCUCUCAGGCUUUAUCAAUCUAUGACUUUCGAGCCAAUUCGUCACUACUUUUAAAAAAUUUCGUAUCUCACGCUGUUCCUCAAAGUUAAAACGCAGUAAGUCUAUAUGCAUUCCAUACAUACUUACUACAAUUUUCUUUUCAUUGAUAGACGAAGAUAUGAGUUUUUUUUUAAAGUAGUGACGAAUUAUUUAUGUCUCCUGAUUUUUAGGACACGUGUCUUCUGAUUUUAUUCAAAUUGGACCUGGCAACACUGAAAUAAUGUCAGAAUCUUUUCUUUGACAUUAUUUACAAUUUAUAUUAUUGUACAUAAUUGGUUUUUUCACUAUUCUUAAGCUAAAAAAAACACCUGUUUGUCCUCCAAAGAAUACCUUAUUGGAUUCACAGAAUGAUUGAGGAUUUGAGGGAAGCAUGUUAAGACUGUGACAAUAUGGUCUUAAGGCAGCCGGCCUCAUUGAGAACAAGAAAAUAUUCUGCUUCAUGUAGCGGUUGUUAUUUGUUAAUAUGACAUGUCUCGGCAGUGUAGUGACCCUGUGCUUAAUUAAGGCUUCAGGCUCAAAUCAUGGUAAACCAAAAUGUAAGCGGCCGGUUGAAAAAGUAGCAGAGUCGAAAAUGGAAAUUAAUGAGCUGCAGAAGUAAAUUUUAGAAGAAUAAUUCUCUUCUUUGUUGUAUCCUUGUGGCUGAGGGACAUGACGAAUGAGGCCAUUCUUUACCAGUGCUCUUCACGCCACUCAAUCCUGGGCCCGGUGCAUGCUAGCCUGCAGUGGUCUUUGUCAGAGAUGUUAUUGUGUCUGCCCAAUGUGUGCCCAUGCUGCCACUUCUUCACUUCCUUGCCGUGUCCUGUGAUUAUGGGAAUAAUAUGCAAAUAAAAACCAACAAUGGGCCAUCGAAGAACAGGAGAGGGCAUGUGGGCCUUAGAGAAAGAGUUGUUAAUGUGAAGACUAAAUAAAUUCAACAAAUAAAAUCUCAACUAUAAUACUGUCUUUGGUACACCCGCUACCAUCGCGUCAAAUAGUGAAAGUGCAGUUCAGUGUAAGCAAAGACAGUGUACAAGAUAUACCACUCACCUAUGGCAUUAGUGUUACUAGACCACAUUAAUACAUAAAGACUAUUUUUCUAAACUUGUCCAAAAAUUUUAUUAAAAAGGUGUCGGAACGCCUUCUCGGGGGACCAAAUAGCGGGUUCCUUCUUUGCUCAGAGGUUGAGUCUGGCGGUGCAAAGGGGAAACGCCGCAAGCAUUCUUGGGUCUAUGCCGGAGGCAGGGGAUCUGAGGGGGUUUUUUAUAUUUAGUUAUAACCUGCUUGUGUUAGUUUUAGUCUUUAGGGUUUUAAGAUUUAAUUAUAAGAUUAAAUAUAUUGUUCGUAGUUGUUGUUGAAUAAGCAGUGUUUGUGUGUCUGACUAACGAAAAUAUAAAUUCAGAUUCUAAACGUCUAAACUUGUGUAUAGCUCUGUGUUGUCUUAAUAAAUCCUAUUGGAAACGC